GUGAAAAGCCGCCAUUGCAGUUCGGAAUUGUGCGCGUGCGUACAAGUGUAUAGGCUAAUAAACGAAAAAUGUACCACAAGCAUGGCAUGAGUCGGCUAGUACGUACAUAAAUACGUAACUUGUUGCUAUUGUAUUUGAAUCAUGGAACGGAGGGAAUCGAUGGCAUUUUGGCUUAAUCGUUGCACCUUGAGCCUGCGAUGCGCUAACGCAAACUCGAUUUCUCGACUACGAAAAAAACAGAAAAAGAGGGAUUUAAGACACUUGGCCUACAGGCCAGUGUAAUAAACUAGACAUAAAAGAAAAUAUGUUAAUGCUACCUAAGCAAGCACAUUUUAUUCUUUUUACAA
Non-coding RNA from Paramuricea clavata, 347 nucleotides. The record is from the annotation of a GenBank genome assembly. Lineage: Eukaryota; Metazoa; Cnidaria; Anthozoa; Malacalcyonacea; Plexauridae.